Agrilus planipennis (emerald ash borer) is the source of this 633-nucleotide RNA transcript. RefSeq lists it as uncharacterized. The record is from RefSeq and is a predicted model, not a curated record. Lineage: Eukaryota; Metazoa; Arthropoda; Insecta; Coleoptera; Buprestidae. The transcript is spliced from 3 exons.
AUAAUGUAGGAGUUUAGUGUAAAUUUCUGUUAAGUUACGUCCGGUGCUAAUAUAAAGCAAAAUAAUGAAGAAAACUGCUCAGAAUGUAUUUUGGUCGUCGAUUAUUUUUUAUUAUAUCAUUCAUUAGGUAAUGUUGUUAUUAUGAACAAAAUUUCAGACAAUAAGUCAAGAUCUAGAUGGAACAUAUUGUUAUACCGAUAACGAUGAAGACAAUACUACAUUUUUGGAGUUCAUGAAUUCAUUAGAUACAUUUACAUUUAAUACCAAUUACACAAUCAAAAUUAGGAAUUGUACAAAUGGACAAGAAUCACCAUCACAAUAUGACUAUAUUUUGGACAACAGUGUUAUAUGGGUGAAAAGGUUUGAAAUUUACGACGAAUUCCACGACGAUUUAGUGUUAUGUAAAAAUUGUUCAACAACAAACUUCCAGGAAUGUAUGAAAGCUGUUAGAUCGGAAAUGACCAUCAGGAUAGGGAAUAAAACUGAUGAAAUACAGGACUUUUUAUUACAAACUAAAGAAGAAUUAGAAUCUAAUUGUUUAUAACAAAUAAAAUAGCAUUAAUCACACCACACACAUUUAUUUCCAUUUUACAAAUCUUAAGUGCAUACAACAAAUAUAAGUUUUUUAUGUGA